Molecule: unclassified non-coding RNA, 737 nt
Filed under: Hevea brasiliensis (rubber tree)
Lineage: Eukaryota; Viridiplantae; Streptophyta; Magnoliopsida; Malpighiales; Euphorbiaceae
Source: RNAcentral
AAUGACUGGUUUCCGUCUCGCUUAUGGCGGGGCCCAAGAGUACUUUGGCAUAACUCCUGACCUCACUACCCUAGGGAAGAUUAUCGGAGGUGGUCUUCCUGUUGGUGCCUACGGGGGUAGAAGGGAGAUAAUGGAGAUGGUGGCUCCAGCUGGGCCAAUGUACCAGGCAGGAACCCUCAGCGGGAAUCCUUUGGCGAUGACCGCUGGGAUCCAAACUCUUCUGCGGCUGAAGGAACCUGGACGCUAUGAUUACUUGGACCAGAUCACAGGCCAGCUUGUUUCUGGGAUUUUGGAUGCUGGGAGGAAGGCCGGGCAUGAGAUGUCAGGUGGGUAUAUUCGUGGAAUGUUCGGGUUCUUUUUCACCAAAGGACCAGUGUUUAAUUUUGAGGAUGCUAAGAAGAGCGAUACCGCAAAGUUUGCGAAGUUUCACAGAGGGAUGUUAGAGGAAGGUGUGUAUCUGGCCCCAUCACAGUUUGAGGCAGGGUUUACAAGCUUAGCACAUACUUCUAAAGAUAUCGAGCUUACGGUGGAAGCUGCUGAGAGAGUUUUGCAGCGGAUAUAGCCAGCAGAUGAAACUGUAAGAUUGUUCUUUCUUUUUUCUUUUUUCUUUUUCAUGUAGCCCUUGUUUUUAUUUAUGGUAGCUGAUUUUUCCUGAGAAAUGCAUAAUGUGGCCCCGUUGUCGACAAGGACUUUUAGGAAGUUUAGCUUUGUAGGUUCUUAUGUCUGUUGUAAGUUUG